AUUGAACGCUGGCGGCAGGCCUAACACAUGCAAGUCGGGCGAGCGGUGGACGGGUGAGUAAUGUAUGGGGAUCUUCCUGAUGGCGGGGGAUAACUACUGGAAACGGUAGCUAAUACAGACUACCAUCAGUUGAACCCAUAUGGGAUUAGCUAUUAGGUAAGGUAACGGCUUACCUAGGCGACGAUCCCUAACCGGUCUGGGAGGAUGAUCAGCCAUCCUGGGACUGAGACACGGCCCAGACUCCUACGGGAGGCAGCAGGGGGGAAUAUUGCACAAUGGGCGCAAGCCUGAUGCAGCCAUGCCGCGUGGAUGAAGAAGGCCUUCGGGUUGUAAAGUACUUUCAGUCGGGAGGCGUUACCGACAGAAGAAGCACCGGCUAACUCCGUGCCAGCAGCCGCGGUAAUAC
RNAcentral lists this ribosomal RNA (406 nucleotides) under uncultured bacterium. RNAcentral describes it as "partial 16S ribosomal RNA". It matches the Rfam family "Bacterial small subunit ribosomal RNA", at positions 30 to 526 of the family's 1533-position model. The record is from RNAcentral.